UACAGAGGGUGCAAGCGUUAAUCGGAGUUACUGGGCGUAAAGGGCGCGUAGGCGGGUGAGUAAGUGAUAUGUGAAAUCCCUGGGCUUAACCUAGGAAUUGCAUGUUAGACUGCGCAUCUGGAGUACAGUAGAGGGUGGUGGAAUUUCCGGUGUAGCGGUGAAAUGCGUAGAGAUCGGAAGGAACAUCAGUGGCGAAGGCGACCACCUGGACUGUAACUGACGCUGAGGCGCGAAAGCGUGGGUAGCAAACAGG
RNAcentral lists this ribosomal RNA (253 nucleotides) under uncultured bacterium. RNAcentral's name for it is "partial 16S ribosomal RNA". It matches the Rfam family "Bacterial small subunit ribosomal RNA", at positions 524 to 776 of the family's 1533-position model. The record is from RNAcentral.